RNAcentral lists this ribosomal RNA (247 nucleotides) under uncultured bacterium. Its description in RNAcentral is "partial 16S ribosomal RNA". It matches the Rfam family "Bacterial small subunit ribosomal RNA", at positions 523 to 769 of the family's 1533-position model. The record is from RNAcentral.
AUACAGAGGUGGCAAAUGUUGCUCGGAAUUACUGGGCGUAAAGGACGCGCAGGCGGACUGUUAAGUCAAGAGUGAAAACUUCCGGCUCAACCGGGAGCAUGCUUUUGAAACUGGCGGUCUUGAGACACGUAGGGGAUGACGGAACACCUGGAGUAGCGGUGAAAUGCGUAGAUAUCAGGUGGAACACCGGUGGCGAAGGCGGUCAUCUGGACGAGGUCUGACGCUGAGGCGUGAAAGCCGGGGGAGC